RNAcentral lists this long non-coding RNA (340 nucleotides) under Physcomitrium patens. RNAcentral describes it as "long non-coding RNA (PPAT_LNC003757)". The record is from RNAcentral. Lineage: Eukaryota; Viridiplantae; Streptophyta; Bryopsida; Funariales; Funariaceae.
AAUUUUGGUGUAUAAAGUUUGUUAUUUGAGUUUUGUAUGAAGAAGUUAAGGUUGUUUGAAGUUAGGGUGUGAAUUGUUUACCGAUUGUCACUCUUUUAAGCAUAUAGAAAGUUGUAGAAGGUUUUUUGGAAAACGAAUGGUGUUUUUGGAAAGCUGGUUUGAAGGAAUAAAAUUUUUGUGCAAGGUUUGUUAACUUUGAGUCUGCAAUGGGAGAGUUAUGGCUGUUUUAAGUCUAGAUGCAAAAUUUGUACCUACUGUCACUCUUUCAAGCAUACAAAGAGUUGUAGAAAGGCAUUUAACAAUCGAAAGGUGGAAUUGAAAAGCUGACUUGAAGGGCUUU